RNAcentral lists this ribosomal RNA (497 nucleotides) under uncultured bacterium. RNAcentral's name for it is "partial 16S ribosomal RNA". It matches the Rfam family "Bacterial small subunit ribosomal RNA", at positions 28 to 507 of the family's 1533-position model. The record is from RNAcentral.
GAUGAACGCUGGCGGCGUGCCUAAUACAUGCAAGUCGAGCGAACAGACUAGUAUCUUGCUCCUCUGACGUUAUCGGCUGACGGGUGUGUAACACGUGGAUAACCUACCUAUAAUACUUGUAUAACUUCGGGAAACCGGAUCUAAUACCGGAUAACAUUUUUAACCGCAUUGUUCAACAGUUUAUGACGUUCUUUCUGUCUCUUAUAGAUGGUUCCGCGCCGCAUUAGCUAGUUUUUAAGUUAACGGCUUACCAAGGCAACGAUGGGUAGCCGACCUGAGAGGGUGAUCGGACACACGGGAACUAAGACACGGUAAAGACAACGACGGGAGGCAGCAGUAGGGAAUGUGCCGCAAUGGGCGAAAGGCUGACGGAGCAACGCCGCGUGAGUGAAGAAGGACUAAGGAUCGUAAAACUCUGUUAUUAGGGAAGAAAAAAUGUGUAAGUAAAUAUGCACGUAUUGACGGUACCUAAUCAGAAAGCAACGGCUAACUACGUG